Molecule: long non-coding RNA, 3102 nt
Filed under: Sus scrofa (pig)
Lineage: Eukaryota; Metazoa; Chordata; Mammalia; Artiodactyla; Suidae
Description: lncRNA (ENSSSCG00000052979.1)
Source: RNAcentral
UUUCAUCUGUACAUUUAUUCUUGACGGACGCCGUCUGGGCCCCCACUCUUGAUUCAGUGCACACACUCCUGCUGGCAAAGGGCUCAGAUCACCAAACAUGUGGCCCUUUAAGGAGUGACUUGUACAGGCCUCCCAGGAGCGGGGGCGGGGGGGGGGGGCGGUGUGUGUGCGAGCAAUAAGGUCUGAAGCAGGCAGGCCACCUUGGAGAAGGGCAACUUUCGUAACAGAAAGGUCACUAACAACAAAUGCUGCAGAGGGAGAAAGAGGGAGGCAGAGCCAGAGAGCGGUCCAAUUAUGAAAAUGAGAAGACACAGGGAUUUAAGAUGCCACCAGAAAGGCCACAUGAAUGUUUAUUACAUAGAAAAGAGGGAACGGCAGAAAAGGUUUCCAAAGCCAUAGUUCCGGGAUUUUAAAAAAACGCAAACUUGGAAUGUCAAAGAGAUGCCAUGCUUUAUACAUUUAUAAUAGGAAUCUAUAAAUAUGUACAUGGAGAUAUGUACACCGGUUUUUAUUUGUACGUUUCACUAUGUGUUCAGUAAGGGUGCUUGAAUUACGCAUUUUAAAGCUAGCGGAACGCUGGAGAAAGGAACACUGCUCGGCCCCUAGAGGGCGCCGUGGAGACGCAGCCGCAGCAGCGGGCAGAUCUGCGGGGGCGGUGUCGGGGGCUGGGGCUGGGGGCUGGGGCUGGGGGGCUGGGGGCUGGGUUCUGAGCUUAUGAAAGAGCUAAGGGGCGGGCAGGCCUGGGCCCCAGGCUGCAAGAUUUGGGCCAAAGUCUAGAAGCUUCCCUGUGUCUGUGGUAUCCUCUCUUGGAACCAAGGAAGGCUCCAGUCAUUAGAACAGGGGCUGGAAAACCCUCUUGGCUGGAUAGCACCCCAGGGGAAGCCUCUGGGGGUGGGGUGGACCCCACAGGAUAGAAGGGAGAUGAGGAAGCCCUGGGAGAUCAGAGAGUGGGUCUUGUUGGAGAACAACAGAAAUGUACCGUGAUUAGUUUACCCAAAAGAAGAGAGACCCAAACAAAGCCAAUCAUGGUAUGAAAAACUAUACAUCACAACACAACACUCAUCCGUAUGUAAAUUCAACUGAAACACACAGAACCAGUCUUGUUUCUAUGUAUGCUGCUUAAAAAAAAUAAACAAAUGGCCCCAUGUACAACAGCAUGGAACUUCGCCCAUGAAUGGGGCCAGCCAAGUGUCCCCAACAGGUGCCCAGGCGGCUUACAGGGCUAUCACUCUCUCCCUGCUUAGAAUAUGGGCCAAGCACUGACCCAGAAAGUGGGGUGGAUGUGACCUCUGACCCCCUUCUUCCUCACGGGUGCCUAUACUGGGGUUGGUGGGAGGGAUGAGGGAGUAGAAGAGAAUCUCAGGAGAGAGGACUGUCGGCAGCCCCAUGAGAGUCCAGAAAGGGACCAUUGUCCCCUCUUCUCUGGGCAGACCCUCCACUCACUCCUACAAAAAGCCAAGCGGGGGCGGGUGGGGGAUGAGCACAGCCGGGUGUGGGGAUGCGGGGGUGCUGAGCCUGUGGACCCCUAGAGGAAGAGGUCCAAGAGAGGAGACAGUGUGCACACCAGGGCCCUGGGGUGGGGGCACUGAGGACAAAAGUGCCUCCAGCCAGGCCCCCGCCAGAGGGAGACGGCUCCUGGGGGAGGCACGGGGCCCCUUUGGAGAUGUUAAGUCCCAAUCCUGAGUCUCCAGACAGCCUGGCCUCACCCGGCAUCAAAGCAACUCUGGGAGUGCACGUGUGCGGGUGUGAGUGUGUGCACAGGCUACGCCCGGGACCUGCUCCACCCACUUAGGUGUCCACACGUGUGUGGUUGUCUGUGCUUCUGCCCACUCUAGGGUGAAAGUGUGGGGGCGGGGGUGGCCGGCAUGGCUGGCAUUUGGGAGGGCUUGGGAACAGAGGUUCCACAGCCAGUGACAACUUGUACCAGAAAUCAGGACACACACAGGCAGGACUCUGUCAUCAACCUCCCUGCUCUGUGAUAGGCUCAGGAAGGCAGAGUGGACUCGGGGGACAAGUGUUCCUGUUUUACUGGAAAGAGCCCUGCCCCUUGAGCCCCUGGGGCCUGCAACAGGACAGAACAGCCUCUGCUACUCCUUGUCCCUUGCCGGAGGAGACUCACUCCAAGCCCUUUGCUCUGAAAGAAAUGAAAACAAUGAUGGCUGCCCAGGCCCCUUGUUCCCAAGCUAUGGAUGGUUAAACUGAGGCAUGUCUUUAAUUUAAAGAGCCAAGGUGGCCCCGAAGGAUCAGCCAGCUCCUUGCUUUCCUCCUUGGGAGGCCUCUGGAAGGCAUCCUCCUGGUCUGGUGGGUGGAGUCAGCACCUCCUUCUGAAGCCCCAGGCUUGUUGUUUGGGGUCUGUGUUUUGCUUUUUCUGAGAUCUCAGUCCUGUUCCUCCAGGAGAAGACGUUAGUGUGUAGCUGGCUUUCUUUCUGUACUUCCUGUUAGUGUCGUUGCCGAGGCUCCUCAGCCCUGGUGGCAUCAUCGCAGUGUCUCUGAGUCACGGUGGAUCAGGGACGGGUACCCCGGGGCGGUCCUGCGUGUUGGACCAGGCAGUCCCCAGUACCAGCUCCAGCUGCAGCCACCAUUCUCUCACGGCAGCACGGGUCCCCUUCGGGCCUGCCUUCCACCAGGGAGUGAGGGUUUGCGGGCUACUCAGGAUGGUGACAGCAGAGUGGCACCCUACUACAUUUGAGGGGGCCAGGCCCCCUCAGAAAACCCUGUCUCUGCCACAGCCAUCCUCCUUCCUCUGGAGCAUAUGUUUGGGGGCCCGUGGCUUCCUCUCUUGGGGCCUCAGUUCUGACAUCUAAAAACUCGGCACAUUGACACCACCCGCUCCCCAGACCAUUCUAAGGGUUACAGGACAUAAAAUGCAGCACAAGAGUUCCUGUUGUGGCUCAUCGGUUAAUGAACCCAACUAGGAUCCAUGAGAACGUGGGUCAAUCCUUGGCCUCGCUCAGUGGGCUAAGGAUCUGGCAUUGCUGUCAGCUGUAGUGUGGGUUGCAGAUAAGGCUCAGAUCCUGCAUUGCUGUGGCUGUGGUGUAGGCCGGCAGCUGCAGCUCUGAUUCGACCCCCAUCCUGGGAACUUCCAUAUGCGGCCCUAAAAAG